Molecule: ribosomal RNA, 253 nt
Filed under: uncultured bacterium
Lineage: Bacteria
Description: partial 16S ribosomal RNA
Rfam family: Bacterial small subunit ribosomal RNA
Source: RNAcentral
UACGUAGGGUGCAAGCGUUGUCCGGAAUUAUUGGGCGUAAAGAGCUCGUAGGCGGUCUGUCGCGUCGGCUGUGAAAACUCGGGGCUCAACCCCGAGCCUGCAGUCGAUACGGGCAGACUAGAGUGCUGUAGGGGAGACUGGAAUUCCUGGUGUAGCGGUGAAAUGCGCAGAUAUCAGGAGGAACACCGGUGGCGAAGGCGGGUCUCUGGGCCGUAACUGACGCUGAGGAGCGAAAGCAUGGGGAGCGAACAGG